AUAAUUACCUGGAAAGAAACAAUUAAAGUGAACAUAACAAGGCCUUUCUGCUUUGCCUCCACUUUUCUGGUGGCAAAGCUGGUUCCAUCACGCUCCCGAUGCACUUGA
This 108-nucleotide ribosomal RNA is filed under the name Triticum aestivum (bread wheat). RNAcentral describes it as "partial small subunit ribosomal RNA". Lineage: Eukaryota; Viridiplantae; Streptophyta; Magnoliopsida; Poales; Poaceae. The record is from RNAcentral.